RNAcentral lists this ribosomal RNA (497 nucleotides) under uncultured Eubacteriales bacterium. RNAcentral's name for it is "bacterial SSU rRNA". It matches the Rfam family "Bacterial small subunit ribosomal RNA", at positions 27 to 507 of the family's 1533-position model. Lineage: Bacteria; Bacillati; Bacillota; Clostridia; Eubacteriales. The record is from RNAcentral.
CAGGGAUGAACGCUGGCGGCGUGCCUAACACAUGCAAGUCGAACGGAGCGCCCGGACGGAGUAUUUCGGUACGAAAGACCGGGUGGCUGAGUGGCGGACGGGUGAGUAACGCGUGGACAACCUGCCGUGUACAGGGGGAUAACAGCCGGAAACGGCUGCUAAUACUGCAUAUGCGCACAGUGCCGCAUGGCACAGGGCGGAAAGCCUAGAUCUUAUCUAGUACGGUACACGAUGGGUCCGCGUCUGAUUAGGUAGUUGCGGGGGUAACGGCCCACCAAGCCCACGAUCAGUAGCCGGCCUGAGAGGGCGGACGGCCACACUGGGACUGAGACACGGCCCAGACUCCUGCGGGAGGCAGCAGUGGGGAAUAUUGCACAAUGGGGGGAACCCUGAUGCAGCGACGCCGCGUGAAGGAAGAAGUAUCUCGGUAUGUAGACUUCUAUCAGCAGGGAAGAAAGAGGACGGUACCUGACUAAGAAGCCCCGGCUAACUACGUG